This is a long non-coding RNA of Esox lucius (northern pike), 2960 nucleotides long. The record is from Ensembl. Lineage: Eukaryota; Metazoa; Chordata; Actinopteri; Esociformes; Esocidae.
CAUAGACUGUGCUUUUAUUGAUCGACAGGCAGCACAAAAGAUACAGCAGGCACAAAUAACAGCACAGACGUUGACCUCCAGCGAAUGUCUCCUGUUCAGUCCACUCACUUCCUACUACCCGUUUUGGUAAAUACAUUUCUUAAUGUUGAACAUGUGUACAUUCUUAAGUUAAUCUCAGGACACCGAGUGGACUCAGCUCGACUUCUCGCAUCAUGUUGAUUCCAUUUAUAAAGUAGGCGUGUUGGCUUUGUUACACAACCGUAAAAGUGCAGGUAACCGGGCUAGUAAAGAACACUUUAAAAUAAGAUUAAUUAAUCUAGAGGAAACGUUAAUCUAAAUAUAGCGUUUAGUCCGGAGCAUUGGCCGUGUGCUGGCUUUCCUGUCAUUUUUCGGACACAUCCCCAGAGAGAAACCAGUGUAACAAUGUCACCGUGAAUCAAUGUCCAAUAGAAAAGGGAUGACUGAUAUUUAAAAGUCCAUUAAUGUUGAAUUUGAAGUUAAUAAAGGACAUUUACUGAAAUGCAUGAUGAUAUAUUUGGCUUUAUUGCAUACGUUAUUAUGUAGAUUUGUAUAGCUUCAUAUGUUAUAUCAUGAGUUAAUGUUUUUAUGAACGUAACUGCCAUAAAUGGUCACCACUCGUGUAAACCCUUGCCAACUUGCAGAGAGCAGUGCACCACUACUGAAUGGACACAAGGGGGUACUGUUUCCCAGGACGUCUCAUUCAAACAAGGCUGCUACGUACCAGUGAUCACAUGAAACAACGAAACGAUUAUAUUUAACCCGCCACCUUAAAAAGGUUUUAAAACAGUCUUCAGCGUUUAUUACUACCAGAUACUAGAGAUGGCUUGUCAUCGUCUCUCCCUGCUUUAGACCUCCUUGGCUGAUUGAGAUAAGAGUGCAAAGCUGGGUGAAAAACUGGGGUGGUGUCUUGACCCUGGGCAUAGAAGUAGAAUUACUAGGAUGGACAGAUCGAUUCAUUCUAUUUCUAUGACCUUGUCCACCUGGGUGACCAAACUAGCAAACGGAAAGGCCUGAGUGUCAGGAAAAACCCUGCAAAUCUUGUUGCGGACCAUUUCUACUAUACUUGUAAAAUCAGUACGUUACGACCAGGGGUUCAAUUGAGCUAGGUCCCAUAAUCCAAAUAAGAGCCCAGCAAAUCUGACUCCCACAACAGUGUUGAAUGGAUGUGGAGCGCUGGGUUUAUUAACAUGGUCAGGUGUAAAAGUUAGACUAUUAUUGGACUAAACCCUUGGCAGUGAAAGCCUUUUUUUUUUGUUGGGGGGAGGGGGACAUUCAAGCAAACAACAUGUUGCUAACGAUCAAAAAGAUAACGUUUAGGGUCUGUAGUUUAGACAUCUAACAUGAUUAUCACAGUGUGAGGAGUACCCCGUCGUUCCUCAGACCAUUCCUUUCAUAGGCUCUGAAGUGUACUGUUAGAUUACAAUAGAUGAUAGAUGUUGCUAAUAUAAUUGCAGGGCUUAUUUCUGUGUGAGGAUAUAAAAUAUUUUAGAAGCGCCGGGUGGGUGUUAAUAUUCAUUAUGGGUUUUUUUUUUUGGGGGGGGGGGGGGGUUUAAGAACUCCGUGGGGACCAACCUCAGUUGAACCCCAAGUUAUGACCACUGUACUUGGCUUUCAUAGCUUCGGAAACACUAUGACAUCUCUUACUACCGAGGUCCCCAUUGUCAUGUUCAUUCUCAUUGUCACCCCGGUUUCUUCAUUAACAGUCUAACAUUAACAGUGCAUGAGCCAGAUUAAACAUAACCCUGACAUUUUGUCAAUACAAACACAUGGAACUCAAUCACAUGAAUCAAUAUGGUCAAUAUUAUAACAGAGUUAAAGUGACAGCAACAAAGCUCACAUUUCAUUAUUGCACAACAUCUAUAUACAUAGGACAAGUUGUAAAGAGGACCGCUAUGCCAUUGAAAGACCUUAAAUCCUGAAAUGUAGCCUGGGUUUCCCAAUCCUCUCCACUCUGACAUUUCAGGUAUUUGUUUUAACCCUAUAAGUGUACAGCUGAUUCAAUUAGUCAACAAAUCCUCAAGCUUUGAAAAUGUGUACGGAACACCAGCAGAUCUUACAUCUGGAAGAAGGUUCAGAAACUCAGAUGUAACUAGAGCUUUACACUAGCAGAUCUUACAUCUGGGAUAGGGUUCAGAAACUCAGAUGUAACUAGAGCUUUACACUAGCAGAUCUUACAUCUUGCUCACUAAGCAAUAUAUGACCUAACCAAAGUUUUACAUCAGCAGGUCAUAUAUACACAUCUUCCUAACUAAUCAAUCUCUGACCUAACGAAAGCUUUACAUAUGGUGAUUUCUCAUCUUACUAAACAAUCUCUGAUAACGGCAACAUGUCUAAAGACCUUGUAAUCUCUGAUUGCGAGGGGGGGGUUUAAUGGAACAACAAUACAGAAAUAUAUGCCAUCAAAAGCGUUAUGAUCAAUCCACGUAUCUAUUUAGUUGUUCAUGUUUCUGAGUGUGACGCAUGUGAAAAAGUCUUGUGUCAUGUUAUUCAUAAUUGUAUAAUCCAGAAUACAGGUACAAUGUGUGUGUUGUAAAUAUGCUGUUUGUAUGAUAUAUGUGCCACACAGCAGCCAUUUCAACCAAAGCAAACUCAAGUAUACAUACAUCUUUUAUAUAGUUGACCGCAACUGGACAUGAACGUAUGAUUCAAACCUUUACCAGCUAGGCCUAGCAGGGCAUCUUACCUGUGUGUGGUUGUGUGUGGGUGUGUGGGUGUGUGUUUGUGUGUAUGCAUCUGCAUGAUCAUUUCGACCUUAAUGACCCCUACGUAGCUCUCGAAGUUCUGCAGUCACUUUUCGCAGCUCAGCCUCAAUCUCCAGAAGCUCCUGCAGAGACACAAAGUAGGUCAACACACACACACACACACAGAGACAGACACACACAGAGAGACAGACAGACACGAACAGAGACAGACACACAUACAUACACAAACAGGCUCAC